ACGCUGGCGGCGUGCCUAACACAUGCAAGUCGAACGAGGUCCAUGCAGUGGCAACACUGCGGAAGACCUAGUGGCGAACGGGUGAGUAACACGUGAGGAACCUGCCCCGAAGACCGGGAUAACCCUCCGAAAGGAGAGCUAAUACCGGAUACCCCCACCUGGUCGCAUGGCCGGGUGAGGAAAUGGAUUCCGCUUCGGGAGGGCCUCGCGGCCUAUCAGCUAGUUGGUGAGGUAACGGCUCACCAAGGCAUCGACGGGUAGCUGGUCUGAGAGGACGAUCAGCCACACUGGGACUGAGACACGGCCCAGACUCCUACGGGAGGCAGCAGUGGGGAAUCUUGCGCAAUGGGCGAAAGCCUGACGCAGCAACGCCGCGUGGGGGAUGAAGGCUCUCGGGUUGUAAACCCCUUUCAGCAGGGACGAAAUUGACGGUACCUGCAGAAGAAGCCCCGGCUAACUACGUGCCAGCAGCCGCGGUAACACGUAGGGGGCAAGCGUUGUCCGGAUUUAUUGGGC
RNAcentral lists this ribosomal RNA (516 nucleotides) under uncultured bacterium. RNAcentral's name for it is "bacterial SSU rRNA". It matches the Rfam family "Bacterial small subunit ribosomal RNA", at positions 33 to 559 of the family's 1533-position model. The record is from RNAcentral.